GCUGAUAAGUUACUGGAUCUGAUCUUCAGCCAAUUCUUAAAGUUCUGAAAACUUUCCAAUCUCUGAAGUGUUUGUUUCUCAGCUUGACAAGACAAAGUUUUACGGGGUUCCUUUCUUCUUGGCAUAGAAAGGGACACUGUGUGGGCUAGACUAUCUUCCGCCUUUUCUCGAUCGCGUCGGGACAAAAGAAAAUUUGAUUACAGUUUUGUAGAAAGCUUACAACAGAGAAUUUGAAUACAUUGAAAGUAAAUUGAAUAUUGAUUGAUGAAAACUGAACAUUACAAUUGGCGAAAACAGAAAAUUACAAUUGCUGGUGUAGGGGAUGGAUACCAG
Molecule: long non-coding RNA, 333 nt
Filed under: Olea europaea (common olive)
Lineage: Eukaryota; Viridiplantae; Streptophyta; Magnoliopsida; Lamiales; Oleaceae
Description: long non-coding RNA (OEUR_LNC010374)
Source: RNAcentral